AGUAAACUGACAAUAUGUUCUACCUUCAAGAGAACAAAGGAGUGUUUUGGAGGAGCGGAGAACGGCUGCGUCACAAAGGCUCCAAAGUCUUGUUGCUCAAAUCCAGGAGGCCAAGGAGCUGAAGUCUGGUGAGGGUGGAGCACAACCUUCAAAGCGUGCCCCUAAAAGAAGACCAAG
Molecule: long non-coding RNA, 177 nt
Organism: Fundulus heteroclitus (mummichog)
Lineage: Eukaryota; Metazoa; Chordata; Actinopteri; Cyprinodontiformes; Fundulidae
Exons: 2
Source: RefSeq, a predicted model, not a curated record